UUCCCAGCAACUCCUAUACCUACCUCCUCGUGGUACUGGCCGGGGUACGAGUAACCUUGGGGAAGAUCGGGUAACCAACCCCCGGUGGGAACUUUGGUCGUAUGCUGACAGGGAAGG
RNAcentral lists this ribozyme (117 nucleotides) under Aedes aegypti (yellow fever mosquito). RNAcentral describes it as "drz-agam-1 ribozyme". It matches the Rfam family "drz-agam-1 ribozyme". The record is from Rfam by way of RNAcentral. Lineage: Eukaryota; Metazoa; Arthropoda; Insecta; Diptera; Culicidae.